Molecule: ribosomal RNA, 444 nt
Filed under: uncultured bacterium
Lineage: Bacteria
Description: partial 16S ribosomal RNA
Rfam family: Bacterial small subunit ribosomal RNA
Source: RNAcentral
UGGGGAAUUUUGGACAAUGGGCGAAAGCCUGAUCCAGCAAUGCCGCGUGUGUGAAGAAGGCCUUCGGGUUGUAAAGCACUUUUGUCCGGAAAGAAAUCCUUGGCUCUAAUACAGUCGGGGGAUGACGGUACCGGAAGAAUAAGCACCGGCUAACUACGUGCCAGCAGCCGCGGUAAUACGUAGGGUGCAAGCGUUAAUCGGAAUUACUGGGCGUAAAGCGUGCGCAGGCGGUUUGCUAAGACCGAUGUGAAAUCCCCGGGCUCAACCUGGGAACUGCAUUGGUGACUGGCAGGCUAGAGUAUGGCAGAGGGGGGUAGAAUUCCACGUGUAGCAGUGAAAUGCGUAGAGAUGUGGAGGAAUACCGAUGGCGAAGGCAGCCCCCUGGGCCAAAUACUGACGCUCAUGCACGAAAAGCGUGGGGAGCAAAACAGGAUUAGAUACCCU